AUGGAGGUUGCCAUAUCUGCAGUUGCAGGAGAACUUGUGAGCCGGUUCAUCUCCUUCCUGAUGAACAAGUACUGCUCAAACCAUCAACGCUCGGAGGAGAAGCUAGCGGAGAGACUGCAGCACCUCCUGAUGAGAGUCGGCACCGUUGUCGAGGAGGCGGAUGCACGGUACAUAGUCAACUGUGGGAUGAUUACGCAGCUAAAGAUGCUCUCUGAGGCCAUGUACAGAGGACACCGCGUGGUGGACACCUUGAGGUACAAAACCCAUCAAGAGAGUGAAGGCUUCAAUGAGGUUAGCAUCAACGACUCAUCUAGCAGCUUGUAUUUAGCCAUUCGUUUCAAGCGUUCUCGAACAGCAACUGAGAAGGAAGACAAGGCAAUGCGCCUUGAGUCACAUGAUGCCUUGGAAAGCUUAGAAAUUGCUGUUGCUAACAUGGCAGAAUUUGUUGUGCUUCUGGGUGGAUGUGAGCGCAUGUCUCGUAGGCCGUACGACAUUUAUCUUUAUACCGACAACUUCAUGUUCGGCCGACAAGCUGAGAAGCAAAAGCUUUUGAGCUUCUUGUUGCAUCACAACCCUCCUGGUGAUGCACCAGCAGUUCUUCCAAUCAUAGGUGGUGUCAGGGUUGGGAAGAAAACUUUGGUUGCUCAUGUGUGUGGUGAUGAAAGGGUUCGCUCGUGCUUCUCUUCUGUUUUGCACCUGAAUGGGGAUAGCCUCUUGAGAGUAUUUGACCAUGGAAGUACCACGUUUGGGGUGAAGAUGUUGGUAGUUAUUGAGUUUGAUUCUGAUGUAUGUGAUGACGACUGGAAAGUUUUUCACUCAUUUGCCAUAAGAAUGUGCAGAGGAAGCAAGAUCAUCAUCUUAAGUAGAAUACAAAGAUUAGCCCGAUUUGGAUCGGUGAAACCGAUUCUCCUAAGUGUUCUGUCUUAUGAUGAGUUGAGCUACCUUUUUAAGAAAAUGGCAUUCGGGAGCGUAGACCCGGCAGAACAUCCACGGCUAGUACAAAUAGCAGAUGAAGUUACCAAGGAGUUGCACAAGCAAGGUUCACUUAUCGCCGCAAAUGCGUAUGCAGGUGUGUUGAGAAGGAAUCUUGAUGUACAGUUUUGGCGUUGCAUAUUGGACAAGGGGACAAGAUACACUAAAAGAAACCUGUUCCUACACGGUGCGCACCCAAGCAUGCUCAUAGAACAAGGCCAUCCAAUGGACAUAACGGACAUUGCUUUGCAUCCACUUAGCAUGACACCUUAUACAAGUAAUGUUCCAAUCAAGGAGGAAUCACCAAGUGUGACAUUGGCGGAACUUCUAGCAGAUCCUAGUGUUAGACCAGAAGGAGACUUCAACCUAAUUGUAUGUGAAUCAAGGAUACCCCCUCAUGAAUCAUUUGUUCAUUUUGUUACAAGUCAUGCUCAGGACGCACAUGAAGUUGGUGCCUUGCCAGGGAGGAAGCGACGGGGCGUGCCUAUCUAA
Molecule: ribosomal RNA, 1464 nt
Filed under: Triticum aestivum (bread wheat)
Lineage: Eukaryota; Viridiplantae; Streptophyta; Magnoliopsida; Poales; Poaceae
Description: partial small subunit ribosomal RNA
Source: RNAcentral